RNAcentral lists this non-coding RNA (21 nucleotides) under Caenorhabditis elegans. The record is from RNAcentral. Lineage: Eukaryota; Metazoa; Nematoda; Chromadorea; Rhabditida; Rhabditidae.
UUCAUCGUUUCCUUUGCUUCU